UACGGGGGGGGCAAGCGUUGUUCGGAAUUACUGGGCGUAAAGAGCUCGUAGGCGGUCUGUCGCGUCGGCUGUGAAAACCCGGGGCUCAACCCCGGGCCUGCAGUCGAUACGGGCAGACUAGAGUGCGGUAGGGGAGACUGGAAUUCCUGGUGUAGCGGUGAAAUGCGCAGAUAUCAGGAGGAACACCGGUGGCGAAGGCGGGUCUCUGGGCCGUAACUGACGCUGAGGAGCGAAAGCGUGGGGAGCGAACAGG
Molecule: ribosomal RNA, 253 nt
Filed under: uncultured bacterium
Lineage: Bacteria
Description: partial 16S ribosomal RNA
Rfam family: Bacterial small subunit ribosomal RNA
Source: RNAcentral